CCCCUAAUAUAGCGUGGUGGGAGAGCCGAAGGAAUACUUAUUGAAGUAGUCACAACGACGACAUCACUAGCUAGGCCGCAUAUUCCAUCGCCAGAUCCGAACCAAGCGAAGUGAAGGAAGACGGGUGUCCUUUUCGUACACUGAGUGUGGUGGGUGAGUCUUCGUGCUGUGAAAACCUAUAAUUUUGACGUGGUGUUGUAUAUUGCUGUGGGCUGCUGUGUAUUGUCGUGUGUCCUGUCAGAUAAACCCCCGCCUUCAUGCACUUCGUCGCGGGAGGACAAGGAGACUGCUGGUCCUAGCCUAGUUCAGUACAGUAUAUGUUGUGAGCGUGCUUCAGAUCUCCGGAGAUAGCACGGUACGCUGUGUCCAGCCCAGAGGUGAAAGCCAUCCAAAGCAGAGUAACUGUGCUUUGUGUCCAAGUUGAUACCUGUGGAGAGGAAAGGAAAGAGAGAUUGAUAUCUGUGGAGAGAAAAGGAGAGAGAGUGG
This is a long non-coding RNA of Cyprinus carpio carpio, 486 nucleotides long. Lineage: Eukaryota; Metazoa; Chordata; Actinopteri; Cypriniformes; Cyprinidae. The record is from Ensembl.